Molecule: ribosomal RNA, 367 nt
Filed under: uncultured bacterium
Lineage: Bacteria
Description: bacterial SSU rRNA
Rfam family: Bacterial small subunit ribosomal RNA
Source: RNAcentral
GAGUUUUGAUCAUGGCUCAGGACGAACGCUGGCGGCGUGCUUAACACAUGCAAGUCGAACGAGAAGAGAUGAGAAGCUUGCUUCUUAUUAAUUCGAGUGGCAAACGGGUGAGUAACGCGUAAGCAACCUGCCCUUCAGAUGGGGACAACAGCUGGAAACGGCUGCUAAUACCGAAUACGUUCUUUUUGUCGCAUGGCAGAGGGAAGAAAGGGAGGCUCUUCGGAGCUUUCGCUGAAGGAGGGGCUUGCGUCUGAUUAGCUAGUUGGAGGGGUAACGGCCCACCAAGGCGACGAUCAGUAGGGGUUCUGAGAGGAAGGUCCCCCACAUUGGAACUGAGACACGGUCCAAACUCCUACGGGAGGCAGCA